Molecule: transfer RNA, 89 nt
Filed under: Oscillospiraceae bacterium
Lineage: Bacteria; Bacillati; Bacillota; Clostridia; Eubacteriales; Oscillospiraceae
Description: tRNA-Leu
Rfam family: tRNA
About the family: Transfer RNA (tRNA) molecules are approximately 80 nucleotides in length. Their secondary structure includes four short double-helical elements and three loops (D, anti-codon, and T loops). Further hydrogen bonds mediate the characteristic L-shaped molecular structure. tRNAs have two regions of fundamental functional importance: the anti-codon, which is responsible for specific mRNA codon recognition, and the 3' end, to which the tRNAs corresponding amino acid is attached (by aminoacyl-tRNA synthetases). tRNAs cope with the degeneracy of the genetic code in two manners: having more than one tRNA (with a specific anti-codon) for a particular amino acid; and 'wobble' base-pairing, i.e. permitting non-standard base-pairing at the 3rd anti-codon position.
Source: RNAcentral
GCCGGAGUGGCGAAACUGGCAGACGCCCGGGACUUAAAAUCCCGUGACCCGAAAGGGUCGUACCGGUUCGAGCCCGGUCUCCGGCACCA